AGGGUGCAAGCGUUACUCGGAAUUACUGGGCAUAAAGGGUGCGUAGGCGGCUUGUUAAGUCGGGGGUGAAAGUUUUCGGCCCAACCGGAAAAUUGCCUUUGAUACUGGCGAGCUUGAGUGCGUGAGGGGUAACCGGAACGAGUGGUGUAGCGGUGAAAUGCGUAGAUAUCACUCGGAAGGCCAACGGCGAAGGCAGGUUACUGGUACGCAACUGACGCUGAGGCACGAAAGCGUGGGGAGCAAACAGG
RNAcentral lists this ribosomal RNA (248 nucleotides) under uncultured bacterium. RNAcentral's name for it is "partial 16S ribosomal RNA". It matches the Rfam family "Bacterial small subunit ribosomal RNA", at positions 529 to 776 of the family's 1533-position model. The record is from RNAcentral.